Molecule: ribosomal RNA, 497 nt
Filed under: uncultured bacterium
Lineage: Bacteria
Description: partial 16S ribosomal RNA
Rfam family: Bacterial small subunit ribosomal RNA
Source: RNAcentral
GACGAACGCUGGCGGCGUGCCUAAUACAUGCAAGUUGAGCGCUGAAGGUUGGUACUUGUACCGACUGGAUGAGCAGCGAACGGGUGAGUAACGCGUGGGGCAUCUGCCUUUGAUCGGGGGACAACAUUUGGAAACGAAUGCUAAUACCGCAUAAAAACUUUAAACACAAGUUUUAAGUUUGAUAGAUGCAAUUGCAUCACUCAAAGAUGAUCCCGCGUUGUAUUAGCUAGUUGGUGAGGUAAAGGCUCACCAAGGCGAUGAUACAUAGCCGACCUGAGAGGGUGAUCGGCCACAUUGGGACUGAGACACGGCCCAAACCCCUACGGGAGGCAGCAGUAGGGAAUCAUCGGCAUUGGACGAAAGUCUGACCGAGCAACGCCGCGGGAGUGAAGAAGGGUUUCGGAUCGUAAAACUCUGUUGGUAGAGAAGAACGUUGGGGAGAGUGGAAAGCUCAUCAAGUGACGGUAACUACACAGAAAGGGACGGCUAACUACGUG